This 253-nucleotide ribosomal RNA is filed under the name uncultured bacterium. RNAcentral's name for it is "partial 16S ribosomal RNA". It matches the Rfam family "Bacterial small subunit ribosomal RNA", at positions 524 to 776 of the family's 1533-position model. The record is from RNAcentral.
UACGUAGGCAGCGAGCGUUGUUCGGAGUUACUGGGCGUAAAGCGUGCGUAGGCGGUGUUCCAAGUCUGUUGUGAAAUCUCCCGGCUUAACCGGGAGGGUGCGGCGGAAACUGGGACGCUGGAGUGCGGGAGAGGUGAGCGGAAUUCCUGGUGUAGCGGUGAAAUGCGUAGAUAUCAGGAGGAACACCCGCGGUGUAGACGGCUCACUGGACCGUAACUGACGCUGAGGCACGAAAGCGUGGGUAGCAAACAGG